Molecule: ribosomal RNA, 207 nt
Filed under: uncultured bacterium
Lineage: Bacteria
Description: partial 16S ribosomal RNA
Rfam family: Bacterial small subunit ribosomal RNA
Source: RNAcentral
CUCGUAGGCGGUUCGUCGCGUCCGGUGUGAAAGUCCAUCGCCUAACGGUGGAUCUGCGCCGGGUACGGGCGGGCUGGAGUGCGGUAGGGGAGACUGGAAUUCCCGGUGUAACGGUGGAAUGUGUAGAUAUCGGGAAGAACACCAAUGGCGAAGGCAGGUCUCUGGGCCGUUACUGACGCUGAGGAGCGAAAGCGUUGGGAGCGAACA